Molecule: RNA transcript, 2180 nt
Organism: Brassica napus (rape)
Lineage: Eukaryota; Viridiplantae; Streptophyta; Magnoliopsida; Brassicales; Brassicaceae
Exons: 3
Source: RefSeq, a predicted model, not a curated record
UGCAAAUUGGGAUUGGAGAUUUGGCACAUUAUUUAUAAUAAGGCCCAUAUCAUUGCAAGCAUCUAUUUUUAAUACUAUAAAGUAGGUUUUUUCUCUCUUCAUAGAGCGUGUUAGGACACUUGUCACGUUCAUCGGCUGAAUUUUCUAAACGGGUUUGGGCUUAUAUAGGAAACUGUUGAAUUUUUUAAACAGGUUUACUGGCCCAAUUACAAAAUGUUGUUACAGAAUGUUUAACGUGUUUAACGUAUUCUUAACGUAAUGUCUCGAGGUCGCAUUGAUACAUUCUUUACUCCCAUUUUCUACGUAAUUAACCCACUGUCCCCACUCUUCAUCAUUCAGUUGAGCUCAUCCCCUCCCAGAGCGAUGAACAUCACAGGUUCGAUGAGAUCCAGAAGAAUAGUCUUUUUACUUACUGAUUACUGCGAUGGCGAAUACCUUCAUCCUCCUUGCAGAUUUGAAAGCUGGGCGAUGCUCCAACACUGCGGAUGUUCGUUUGCUGAGAUUUUGGGAGGCAAGAAAUGUCAGGAAAGGCGGUGAACUAAUGAGUCUGGCAUGCUCCUCAUCGAUGAGAAUGUAAACAUCUUUCUUUUCGAUUAACUCUGUAGACGAUUACUCCAUUCCGAUUGUCUAAACUUUUGAACUCGAUGAGAAUGUUUAUCAUAGUACGUCUAAGCAUGUUUUGAGUAAGCAGCAAGUCCAACUCCUGCAGUGGAAAUCAGUGUUAGAGAUUACAAAUAUCAACUUUGAGAUGAGAUUAGAUGAUUUAAACAUACCUUCGAUCGACCAAACGGUAUGUUAGCAAGAUAUGAAUAGAGCAGGACUUCCUUUGCUCGAGAUUCUAUCUGAAAUUCAAAUGGAACACUCUGAUGCAAUGGACUGUCAGGAGGAAGAUGGAGGAUAACGAAGAAGACAUAGACAAAGAUAGAAAUUUAAAACCUCAGAGGUGCAAUCCAAAAAGAACAGCACAAAACAGAGGCAAGAACAACUAGCUGUAAGGAGAGAUGAAGCAGAAGUAGAGCUGUAGCAACGAUGGACCAACCUGAGCACCACUCGAGCAAGAGAGUAACCGGUCACGGACCAUUCUAUCCACUGACGCAAAGAGAGAGUCACUGGUUAAUGCUUGCCCCCUGAAGAUACGUGAGUUUCCUUCUCUCCAAAAGGUGUACACAAUCACCUGAAAAUGAGUUAAAUACCACAGCAGUAUCACUGAGAUCAGAGUCCAUCAGCAACUGAGAGAGGGGUACGGAUGCCAUAAAAUUAGCAGGAGGGGAUGCAAUCAUUCUACCACAAAACCGUGUCCAAAUGUUAACAGUGAAAUUGCAUUGAAAGAACAAGUGUUGAUGAGUUUCAAUUCCUGAAGCACAGAGCACACAACUGUUUGGAACAUUUAAUCCCCAUACAAGAAAUCUGUCACGAGUGGGUAUACACCCAAGAAUGGCCAUCCAAGCUGCAAAGGACCAUCUUGGGAUUUUUUGCUUGAACCAAAUUACUUUUGACCAUGAAACCAAGGCAGAGCGAUUCCUGAUUCUUUCCCAAGUUGCCUUUGAGGAGAACUUUGGUAGAUAAGUUCCGUUAGGUGCGAGCCAAAGAUAUUGAUCCUAUCCUCUAUAUGGUAAUGGAACCUCCAUGGUAGAUAGAACAAUCUGCAAGGUCUCCAUAUCAUCAGACUGAGCUGCUAGAAAAUUCCAUGAACCAUCACGUACUGCAUCAGAAACGUUGGCAUGAAGCUAAACCUGCAAUUGGCAUGGACCAUAUGGUCCAAACAUAGCAUAUACAGGCCCCAGAUCAGUCCAUAAAUCAUACUAAAAUGAUGCACGAGUGCCAUCACCAAUCCUGCGUUGAAGAAAUUUCAGCAGCCAAGGUUUUAAUUGAAGCAUACUCCUCACAUGUUUCUUUCUUUCUUUGUCAUUUGUAUAUUCUGAGUUGAAUCAAUAAAGGAAUAUGAUGAACUCAUUAUAUUUCCUUCUUCAUUGAUGUAAGUAGUCAAAGUCAAAUAUAGAUAGUUUUACAAGGGAACGUUGGAGUGUUACUCUCUUUUUUUUUAAAGUUUGUGCUUUGACUGAGUUUUUCUUUAUUUGGUUUUCAGCUAUCGCUGGUGCUUUGGCUUAAUAUUUGAACACAGAUUACUAAUUUGUUAGACAUUUAUUUUUCUUAGAAUAAUGAUUUCAAGGUUCCUAGCA